Homo sapiens (human) is the source of this 790-nucleotide long non-coding RNA. The record is from Ensembl. NCBI's taxonomy places the organism in Eukaryota, Metazoa, Chordata, Mammalia, Primates, Hominidae.
AGAAGGUACCUGCUUCCCCUUUGUCUUCCACCAGGAUUGUAAAUUACCUGAGGCCUCCCCAGCCAUGCGGAACUCCUCUAUGUUGAGUACUGAGAUCCAGCAUAAAACAGGAGACUUGUUUCCUGCAUGAAACCUGCAGUAUUCUGAGGAUUAAAGAUAUUAGAUCAACAACCAGAGAAAAGAAUUAUUUAAGUGUUUAUGCAAAAAACUGUAGAGAGUCCUAUGGAAAUACACCAGUGAAAUAGAAUAUGCACAGAAUGUGAUACACUGUACAAGAUAAGUGCACCAAAACCAUAUAUUUGAACUGUGUGACUAGUAUAUGACAAAGCUAGAGAGAUUUGAAUUGUGCUUCUAAAAUAAAAUAAUUACUUUGCAACUUGCGAUAAAAAAAUCCAUCAAUGGAUCAAUCAAAACGGCAGUGCUGUCAAAUUGUGUAAUAUAGCUAUACUAAAAUGUAUAUAUUUUUAUACAUAAUCACAGGAAACACAACUCAUAGUCAAUUAUGUUAUCAUAUUUUCCCAUUCAAAAAUGUGGUAUGAAAGUAUUUUGCAAAUUCAGUAUCAAGUAGAUAGUUUGUCAGGUGUUUUUACACCACACAGAAUAAAUCUUAUCUUUGCUAGACAAGAAUAAGUGUGCUAGUUCUUUUGUAUUUUGACUUUUAAGUUUGAGGCAGAAGUGCCACGGAAAUCAACUUCUGACUAGGGGAGAUAAAAUAAACUCUCCAAAGAGCUGAGCCUGUCAAAGUAGAUGAAAAAAACAUCUCUCUCGAAUGCUCAAAUAAUAAAUGCUG